This 465-nucleotide ribosomal RNA is filed under the name uncultured bacterium. RNAcentral describes it as "partial 16S ribosomal RNA". It matches the Rfam family "Bacterial small subunit ribosomal RNA", at positions 28 to 507 of the family's 1533-position model. The record is from RNAcentral.
GACGAACGCUGGCGGCGUGCUUAACACAUGCAAGUCGAACGGUGAACCUGCUUCGGUGGGGGAUCAGUGGCGAACGGGUGAGUAACACGUGGGCAACCUGCCCUCAGCUCUGGGAUAACUCCAAGAAAUUGGGGCUAAUACUGGAUAUGACCGCUGACCGCAUGGUCUGGUGGUGGAAAGAUUUAUCGGCUGGGGAUGGGCCCGCGGCCUAUCAGCUUGUUGGUGGGGUAGGGGCCAACCAAGGCGACGACGGGUAACCGGCCUGAGAGGGUGACCGGCCACAAUGGUACUGAGACACGGCCCAGACUCCUACGGGAGGCAGCAGUGGGGAAUAUUGCGCAAUGAGCGAAAGCCUGACGCAGCGACGCCGCGUGGGGGAUGACGGCCUUCUGGUUGUAAACCUCUUUCAGCAGGGACGAAGCGAAAGUGACGGUACCUGCAGAAGAAGCACCGGCCAACUACGUG